UACGGAGGGUGCAAGCAUUAAUCGGAUUUAUUGGGCGUAAAGGGCGCGUAGGCGGCCAUGGAAGUCAGAUGUGAAAUUUUUGGGCUCAACCCGGAAACAGCAUUUGAAACUCCAUGACUAGAGGGUAGGCGGAGAAAACAGAAUUCCACAAGUAGCGGUGAAAUGCGUAGAUAUGUGGAAGAAUACCGGUGGCGAAGGCGGUUUUCUAGCUUAAACCUGACGCUAAAGCGCGAAAGCAAGGGGAUCAAACAGG
RNAcentral lists this ribosomal RNA (253 nucleotides) under uncultured bacterium. Its description in RNAcentral is "partial 16S ribosomal RNA". It matches the Rfam family "Bacterial small subunit ribosomal RNA", at positions 524 to 776 of the family's 1533-position model. The record is from RNAcentral.